RNAcentral lists this unclassified non-coding RNA (220 nucleotides) under plant metagenome. Its description in RNAcentral is "partial contains 5.8S ribosomal RNA, internal transcribed spacer 2, and large subunit ribosomal RNA". The record is from RNAcentral.
GCAUAACCAAAAAUCUCGUCUCAUACGACUCGUUGCAAUGGAAGGAGAUUUUCCAUUCUAUGGAGAAAUUGAGACCCAGCCGGCCAACGCCUACGCACUUAUGAAGCAGGGUGGCUAUGCGAUGCUUGACGAAACGCUGGCAAGCCAGUAUGAGGUAAGCUCUGAUGACUCACUACGCGUUGGCAAGAGUACAUUCAAGGUUGCCGGUGUCGUGACGCGC